UAACCAUCCAAUAAAACCUUGCCGUUAUUCGCGAAUUAGUUAGUAAAUUCGCGAAUUAUUCGCGACUUAUUCACGAAUUAUUGAAAAUCUGAAUUAAACAGUCCGUUUACGAAUUUUUCCAAAAGAAAGAGAAUUAUUCGCGAAUUUUUGAGCCAGCCGAAUUAUUCGCGAAUUAUUGCCGAAUUAUUGAAAGUAUGAAUAAAAAAUUUAUAAUUUUAUUUUUAAAUAUAAAUUGCUUUAUAUUUUAUAUCUUAUAUUUUAUAUUUUAUACCGAAUUCGUUUUUUAAGCCGAAUUUUUCAACGAAUUUAAAAAUUAGAAAACGAAUUUUAUACGUAUUAUAUUCGUACCGAAUUUUUACCGAAUCCGAAUUAACUAACUAUGGUUGGAAGUU
This 392-nucleotide long non-coding RNA is filed under the name Ananas comosus (pineapple). Its description in RNAcentral is "long non-coding RNA (ACOM_LNC039271)". Lineage: Eukaryota; Viridiplantae; Streptophyta; Magnoliopsida; Poales; Bromeliaceae. The record is from RNAcentral.